CACCCCAGCCUCUACACCACCGCCACUGCCACCGCAUCCUUACCCCUGCCCCACGACUCGACCCCGGUGCCUACCCGCCCUCGCCGCAGUGCCGCCGUCGCCUUCUUUCCUCUGCCCCCAAGAUCUCUGGCGCACCAUGCGCCGAUCCCAAUUCAAUCGAGCCGGCGACAAGCGCCAAUUCACUCAGAUCCACUCUGCGCACUGGCAGGGAGGAGACAGCCAUGGCGUUAGUUGCCUUCACCAACAAGAACACCAUCGACCGCCUCCUCGAGGCCAAACCAGAGAACAAGACGGCAGCGGCGCACCAACGCCGACGCGCUCCUCUUCACCGGCGUCCGCGCUCUCUGAGUCCCAGGUGCGCCUCUCUCUCUCAAAAAAAAAACUAGAUGCAAGAUGAUCCCUGUGCCCAGCGGCGUGGAAGGACAAGAAGAAGGUCGUCACCGAGCAAUGGGUGCAAGACAGCUUCGAACUUGGAUAUGCUAUAGCUAGCCUACCUACCUCUAGCGAUUGUGUGUGUUCUGAACAAUAAACUAGCAUUUUUUAGCAGCAUGCUUAAGUCCUUUCUCUAAAUAAAAUGUAUGCAUGAGUCUCUGUCAUGUGAAUUAGCGUUUUCUACUAAUUAGUCUGAGUGAAGGUGUUGGUUCUUGUUUUUAAUUUGCCAGGUAUUAUAUGGGCCAGUCAGAGAUCCCAAUGGCAUUCCAGGUAGUGAUGAACUUCACAUUUUCCUGACAGGCUAUUAGAAGAAUUGGUACGCAGACAUAAUGGUAUGGUAAAGAAUGCUGCUUUGAUCAUGGCCCCAAUGGUAGAGCAAAUUAUGUUUCAUGCCACUGCACAUAAACCGUGUGUAACCAGGUUUUUAUGAUUGCCUUGAGUUGAUGAAGAGAGCAAAUCUUAUUAGCUGAAUGUUGCCCUGCUGGCUUAUUUUGAUUAAGAUGUCUUUCUACCAGCUAAAUUAUUGUUUGUGGUAGACUCAAGUUGUAUUUAGCUACCAGCUAAAUUAUUCCAAUAGCAAUCUAAAUGGACAUCUCAAGUUCUUUAAUAUCGGCAGAAUGGAGUAUUUAGCUACUGGUUAGAUAUCUUGAUGUUUUAUACUCUGUACUCCAUUUUGAUGAGUUAAAGAGUCAAACUGAUAUGUAUGCAGGUGGUGGCUUUGAACGAAUGUGUGCCUAGGCUGGGAGAUUCAAUUUGAUCUUCAAGUCCAUGGAUGUAUUUCAUCAAGAUCUCUUACAAAUCUGAAUGAUCACAUGCUCAUAGUUGAGUAUUUUAUCAAUUUUGCAAGAAGAUAAUUAUAAAUUCACUGUUACAGCAUGUUUGUUAAUUCCAAAAAAAUCUGAAAUUGUUUGAUUCAUUUCGUAUGAACUUUGGUUAUUUAAUGAGCUUGUUGCUGCUGCUUGGAAUCACUGAGCUCUCAUAUACUAAAUUCAAGAUGGCAAGUAGUUGCAAUUGAAAUCUUUAGUUUGUUCAGUUAAUCUUGGAUUUCAUGUAUUGUUCAGAUAAUUUUGGGUCUAUCUUGCUCUGGAAAUCAUGCUGCUUGCUGUUUCAGUUCUUAUUCAUAUGGACUUCUUUGAGUUUAGCUUGAAUGCUGGAUGCUUCAAAGAGAACCCUAAGGAGAGCUGCUGCUGCGAUGCGGAUAAAGAAGCUCACUUACAAUGGUAACUGAACUCAAAGAAGUCGAUGGUCAGUGAUGUGAUGACGUUGAUGUUUGCUUUUUUCAAAAUGGCGCUAUCGUUUGAAUGAUGGGAUACGCUCACAACAUUUACCAGGCAGCCGGAUGGAUUCUGGUUUAGUGGGCGAGAAAACCUUGGAUGCAUUUUGAAAAAAAAAAUGACCCAUGCAGUAAACUGCCAAAGAAAUGUCUUAUAGAGUAGUAUUUUAUUCUGUCAAACCAGUGUCAUUGAGAAAUGUUACAGCCUCCUUUGGAUGAUUUUGUACUGAUACAUCCAUAAGAACAUAAAAAUGCUGCCCAGUUGGAAACCAUAACUAAAGGCUUAACUAUGGUUAGAUAGCAGGAAGAGUGGCAAGUUGGAGUAGAAAGAAUGAGGGCUAAUAUAAUCUAAGUGCUAUUUAUUUGGUGUCUUGGUAGGUUCACUUUAUAGUUUAUCCAUAUAAGCUGUUGUUAUUUUGCUUGAUGAUGAUGUAAUCCCGUAGCAAUGCAUGGGCACGGACCUAUAGAGGUUCAAUGCUAAUCUCUAUACUGUGCCAAAUGGUCUGAUGCAUGUAAAACUAAAUAUACUGUCCCAUUAAGCUGAAAUAUUUAAGAGACUCGGUGCUAAUGCUGUGCCAAAUUAUUUGAAGCUUAUAUGAUGUCCUUUGCGUGUAGUCAGUGUUAACAGUCAUGUGCCAAAUUUGUCCGGUGAACUCUUCGAGUAUAUGUUUGCAUUGAGUGCAAUUCUCAGUGUGCUUAUUUAAAAAAGCAUUAAUCUUUGUUUGAUAUCAUAGUUUCACUCUUUGCGUACGCCCUGCUCUUGAUUGUUCCACUUUCUGCCCUCCUUUUCUGUAUAAAAAAUGAUCAGUGCAGCGAUUAGUUGUUUAGAUCGUGAAGUCUAUACUUUCAAAUGAGAAUGUUAUAAGGGACUGUCUAUUUAACCUUCCAUCAUGAAAAACAUUUUUCAUGUUCAUUCCUAUGCUACCCUCCAAUAAAACCAAUAAUAGAACUCUUAGUAGUUCAGGUACUUAAACCUUUGAAACAAAAUACUAAAUGCACCAAAUGUUUUUCACUAAAGGUACUACGAGGAACUCUUCCAGAGAUGGACGACAACGACGACACAUCAUCUACUCAGUUUAGAUUCCCAAUGAAGAAUUGAAGAGCUUCCUUGUUUAUAAAUUGCAUGCUUUUGAUCUGAUCGGUUCACUUUCCAGGGUGGAGACUCGGAAUCCAAGUCACUAUAUCAUGAACCAUAACUGAGACAACCGAACGAUGCCCUACUCGUGCAGUGAAUAUGCGACACGUCUAUUUUAGGCGAAAUAAUUGAUUCACAUCUCAUGUUGCACAUGACUCCGACAAAUCUGGUCGGGUCUGCUCUUGUCAAUGAAAGGCCAGGGUAGCAUUCUAAAAGAAAAAACAAUCCUGUUGGACGAUAACAGCGCCAAACCAGCACAAUGCCGUGUGGCUGUCAAUGCUGAGUGAACCUCGCGAUGAUAACGUCCAAGCGCACAGGUUGAUGAACAAUAUGCCUACCCGGAUUUGCAGCGGUGCCGAGCAGUCAAGCCCCAAAAGGUUGUGAACGUCUGCUCAACCUCAGCGGCUCUGCAUGCGCGAGAGCCUAGCUAUCGACAGUUGCAGGACUAACUGUUAACAAUGAAACAACUAGGCCCAAUUAUUUGGUUAGGAUUGAAUUGAUGUAUGUGAGAUGAAUAGAACCAUGUUUAUCUAAACCAAGGCAACGCCUCAUGGAUCCUGCUUCCUUUUCUGACGAUACUGACAUAACCAAAUUUUGAAAUUGUCGCAAGUUCCCCAGGAACUACUGCUACAGAGGUUCAAUUUUGAGACA
Panicum virgatum (switchgrass) is the source of this 3491-nucleotide long non-coding RNA. RefSeq lists it as uncharacterized. Lineage: Eukaryota; Viridiplantae; Streptophyta; Magnoliopsida; Poales; Poaceae. The record is from RefSeq and is a predicted model, not a curated record. The transcript is spliced from 4 exons.